UACAUAGGGAGCAAGCGUUAUCCGGAUUUAUUGGGUUUAAAGGGUGCGUAGGCGGGAUGCCAAGUCAGCGGUAAAAAUGCGGUGCUCAACGCCGUCGAGCCGUUGAAACUGGCGUUCUUGAGUGGGCGAGAAGUAUGCGGAAUGCGUGGUGUAGCGGUGAAAUGCAUAGAUAUCACGCAGAACUCCGAUUGCGAAGGCAGCAUACCGGCGCCCUACUGACGCUGAGGCACGAAAGCGUGGGUAUCGAACAGG
Molecule: ribosomal RNA, 252 nt
Filed under: uncultured bacterium
Lineage: Bacteria
Description: partial 16S ribosomal RNA
Rfam family: Bacterial small subunit ribosomal RNA
Source: RNAcentral